RNAcentral lists this ribosomal RNA (385 nucleotides) under uncultured bacterium. Its description in RNAcentral is "bacterial SSU rRNA". It matches the Rfam family "Bacterial small subunit ribosomal RNA", at positions 344 to 721 of the family's 1533-position model. The record is from RNAcentral.
GAAGGCAGCAGUGGGGAAUAUUGGACAAUGGGGGCAACCCUGAUCCAGCGACGCCGCGUGGGUGAAGAAGGCCUGCGGGUUGUAAAGCCCUUUCGGUGGGGAAGAAAAGUUGCGACCUAACACGUCGCGACCUUGACGUAACCCAUUAAAGAAGCACCGGCUAACUCUGUGCCAGCAGCCGCGGUAAUACAGAGGGUGCGAGCGUUAAUCGGAAUUACUGGGCGUAAAGCGCGCGUAGGCGGCUUUGCAAGUCGGGUGUGAAAUCCCCAGGCCUAACCUGGGAACUGCAUUCGAGACUGCAUGGCUAGAGUAUCGGAGAGGGAAGUGGAAUUUCAGGUGUAGCGGUGAAAUGCGUAGAUAUCUGAAGGAACAUCAGUGGCGAAAG